CCAGGCGCUGGUGACAGUACGCUGUGCAUCUGUAACUCUGCUGGAUCAGGGGGCAAACAGUAUGAGCCUAUAAAUGUCUACUCAGAAGUAAGUCCCAUUGAUUUCUCUGUACAAGUGAGUAUACAGUUACAGACUUAAAGACUUAAGAGCAACCUUCCUCUGGGUUGCUGAUCCAGGUAAUCAAUAAGAAAGGCAAAACAAAAACAGGCAAUCUUUAACUUUGGGCUUCUUCUUGGAAAGAAACAUGGUACUAAGAAAUGACAAUGACGACAUCUCAGCAAUUGGCACCAAGAUUGCUAAGUGCUGCUCAGGAAACACGGCCAAGUUUAGAUGAUCAGGCCUAAAGAGUCAGCCUCUGGUUCAGGAACAAGCAAUUUCAGCUGUUUCUAAAAAUGUAAUUCUCUCUUCUUCUUUAAAAUAGAGCUAGCUCAGCAGUGGUGUAAGCCAAAUCCCUGUAUUUAUUCACAACCAAGACUGAGAACCACAGCUUUAACUCUAGUUUAUCACCACAAUAAAUUUUAGGGUUGGCUUUUGCACAUAUGAAAUCAUAGUAAUACUUCCCCUCCUUUUAUAUCCUUUUAAUUCUGAUGCCUGCUUUGUGGGAUAGAAUAUUCUAUAUGGAGCUGUGUGAGAACAGAGAUGUGCAUUGUAAUGAACUGAAAGCGACAGAAAGAAUUCUUGUGGUGCCUUAAAGAUGCAUUGUGGCAUAAGCACUAGUGACUCAGGUGCUGUUUGCUUGGUUUUUGUUUGCCUGUUACAUUUCUAUCCAUUUCAGCCACAUUCUCUGGGCAGUCAACAAAUGUAAUCUGAAUUAAUUAUUAUUUUUAAUUGAUCUGCCCUCAAGCUUGGUGGAAACUCUAGAUGUGGGGUCUCCCCUGCCAAGUGACUUUGUUAGACUCUUCAUAUUCAGCUGCCAAGGUUUACAUUCAUUCAUGGCACUGUAGAAUAACAUACCACUCAACAGUCCUGCUUUUACUGGGACAUCCUGGAUUUACAGAAGCCAUCCUGACUUACGUUUGAAAUCCCAGGUGCCCCACUUCUGCCCCCUGACCUCCAUUUCUGUGGUGGCUGCAGCAGCCGUGGUGGCUUCCACAAUGGCCUUUGCUGCUACCACCACCACAUACUCCCAGAAGCAGGCGCAGCACUUCUGGCGGCCACAGUGAGGCAGAGGAGGCUUCGAGAAGGCUUAGGUGGCCAAGGCCAAGCUGUCGCUGCCACAGUGGCAGAAGACGAGAUAGAGCUGGCGAGAGUAAAGUGGCAGUGGGUGGGGCAGCAGCAGUCAGAGGAGGGGCAGCAUGGUGUGCGGGGAGGGGGGUAUAGAAUAAGACGACAGUGCAGACAUCACCUCAGAGGGGUGGUACAAGCAGGAGAACUAGUCAGUCUUCAGAAGCCUUUUGCACCUUGUUAAAGCAACAUUGCCCCUUCUGCCAGUGCCCUGACUAUGCCAUCACUCUGCCUCACUUGAACUUGACUCUGCCACUCCACUAAGAAGUACCACAACAGUAGCUGGCUGCCCUGGUAGCCCAGAGCCCAGCUGGGCCAGGGCAAGAUAUUAAGAGUAUCACUCAAGAGAGAAUGGCACUGUCUGGGAACCACCUGCUCAAACACUUCACUGCCCAGUAAGGGGAUGUUCACAACCAGCCUGCCAUUAUUAACAUUUUUUCUGGCUGCAAGUGAGAUUUCUUCAGGAGCAGGCUAAUACUGCCUCUUUUAAAUUGGCUGGGAUGGUGGGACUGCUAUCUCUCACAAUUCUGCAGUCUUUUAGAAAUGCACACAUACAGGCAGCCAUGAAAUAAGGCAGCCAUAGUCCUGCAGAACCCAAUUAUGUACAGUGUAGGUAUUCAAUCAUGAACUUUUGUUUUAUUUCACAUACAGUCAUACCUUGGGUUAAAUAUGCUUCAGGUUGAGCAUUUUCAGGUUACGCUCCACGGUGACCCAGAAGUAACGGAAUGUGUUACUUCUGGGUUUUGCCACUCACGCAUGCGCAGACGCUCAAAAUGACGUGACGCGCAUGCACGGAAGCGGCGGAUUGCGACCCGUGCAUGCGCAGACUCGGGUUGCGCUCGCUUCAGGAUGUGAACAUGGCUCGGGAACGGAUCCCGUUCACAUCCAGAGGUACCACUGUACACUGCUCCGGCUCAGGUUAUGGACAACAGAGGUCGAUAAAGCUACUCUGAGUAGCAGAAUAGUUCAUAAAUAAUAUGCUAGAAUGAAUCUUACAGACUUAUGAAAUCCACACGAUUUCAUGUUUUUGAGGCCUGAGAAUUGCCUCUGCAUAAAACCCAAGAGACCCAUGUUUCUAUGGCUUGGUGCAACAUCCCCUUCCUAGCAGAUAUAGUUUCCUUUCUCUUUCUUCCCCUUUCCUACCCUCUCCUGUGCGGCUCUCACGGUCUUCUUCACCCCUCACUCUGGGAAAAGACGAUUGAGGAGUUGCUAAGCAACCACAACAUUGCUACUCUUCAUCUAUCAGAUAUAUUCUAUUGCUUCAGCCUUGGUCAAGGUUAUGGACAAGGCUUGCAGCUCUACAGCUCCAUGAACAACAUUAUCAAAAUAAAGAUUUUAUGUUAAGAAGGGAGAGACAUGGGGUUAAUAUUGAAUUGAGUCCUUGCUUUGAUCAAUGGUUUCUUAAUGUUUCUUGUACAUCAUCAGUCAGUAACUAUUAAGGUGGGCAAGUUAUGCAGCAUUGCAUCAAGCAAUCAUCAUCCAACACUUUCCAAUGCAUUUUACCCAUCACUUCCUAAUUGCUAAAAGUAUAAGGGUUUUUGCAGACUGGGCUCGGGGCAGGCAGGUUUGUUGCACAAGAGCACCAAAGUGAUUUUAAAUGCAUAACCUGAAUUUCCCAGUAGGUGUUUGAAUUCCACCUGAAAAUAGCAACAGUCUGGAAUCACCCUUGCCCAAUGGUCUGAGAGAGUCUGUAUGUCAGCUUCAAAUAUUCCUAUACUAUUUGGCCACAGAACUCUUUGAAAUGUCACUUAAGGCUUAAGAUGCUUCUCACAGGACAUUUUAAGGAGAUAUGACUUAUGUGAACUACUGCCUCAGAAAAAAGCUUGCAUAGCCAUGAAUAAACCCUUCCCACCUGUUUGACUUCAGAAACAGCAAAUGUGCUGCAAUCUGCUAUGAAGGGAACCGUAGAGACUCAUUUUCAUUCUAGGCUUUGGAAGAAGUGGUGCUUCCAAGGAGUGAGCUAGGAGGAUUGGGAAUCAGCACAAUUAAGCAAGAAUCAACCCCAUCAAGGUUCCUAGAGGCUCAUCUAGUCCACCUCCCUGCAAUGCAACUAAAGCAUCCAUGCCAGAUGGCCAUCCAACCUCUGUUUAAGAAAGUUCUUCCUGAUCUUUAGUCUGAAUCUCCUUUCUUGUAACUCUCAUCCAUUGGUUAAGGUCCUACCCUCCAGAGCAGGAGAAAACAAGCAUAUUCUAUCUUCCACGUGACAGCCCUUCAGAUAGUUGAAGAUGUCAAAGGCUAAAAGGCAGAAUGUAAGGUGUCUGUCAUGUGCCUAUUGUGAGUUGCUUUAUAUUUUGUGUGUGGAUGAAGGAUAUGCAACUAACACAAGGGCUUAGGGACAUUUGUAACAGUAAGUUGUGUUUGUUUUGUGGCUUUUAAUCAUCAGGAAUACCAGCUCCUUGGGAGCCAGCCCUUUUGGCCCCCCCAAAUAUUUUGGGGGUGAGGGCUACUGCCCCUAAUGUCCAAAAGGAACAGAGGCAAAGCGUGGAGCCAAGCAUGGAAUGGCUGCAGUGGCUGACUCCUUCUCCUCCUGCUGCUGUGGAGGGGAAAGAGGGUCAAAAAACCCUCCUGCCAGUAGCUGCACCCCAGCUCCUCCUGACGUCAUGCGUGCAACAUUGCCCUCUCCCCAUCGCCCUUGCAAGCUGGCCCCUCGGCUUGAUGCAUACCUUUUGUAUUUUUCCUACUUAGAUAAUCUCAUGGUCUUAUGAUAGUCUGCAGAUUCCUACUGAGGAGAAAAUUAAAUGCUUCACAGAAGAACUGGACCCAGGCAGCACUUAUUUUGGAGACUGGAAGCACUGGCCCAUUACUACAUUCCAGAGAGGAACUGAAUAAGCCACCUUAGCCAAACUUCCCAAAGCAAAUGUACCUCUGGGGAAGAAGGAGCUUCUCAUACUUGUAACUGGGAACUUGCACGCUUGCCUUAGAGAGCACGAAGCUGCUGCCUGGGCAUGCACAUUAAAGGUGCACCACUGAGGCUAUGAGGCAAUCGCAAGCUGGGUGCACAGCAAAUGGGAGCAGCAGGAAGCAUCACAGCUCCAUGGUUAUUCUGCAUGUAGAACUGCAGUCUCCAGUGAGAUAUCAGGGUUGACAUGCUUUAUGUAUUGUUUUUUAUUGGUACCUUUAUAUUCUAACCUUCUUCCCAGAAGAGCCCAGAAUGUAGCUUCAGCUUCCAAGAGCUCCUAACCCUAACCCUAACCCUAGAGCCUGGCCACAAUGGGCUCCUUCAUGUAUUUUACAUUUUCUCCAUUGGGACCUUGGAGGAUAAAAUAAAGAGGUAAGAAUUUUUUUCUGAAUUCUUUCCCACCCUCAAUAAUUUUAGGGAGAGGUAGAAUCAGCUCCAGACGCAGGUGGCGCUGUGGGUUAAACCACAGACCCUAGGACUUGCCGAUCAGAAGGUCGGCAGUUUGAAUCCCUGUGACGGGGUGAGCUCCCGUUGCUUGGUCCCUGCUCCUGCCCACCUAGCAGUCCGAAAGCAUGUCAAAGUGCAAGUAGAUAAAUAGGUACCACUCCGACGGGAAGGUAAACAGUGUUUCUGUGCGCUGCUCUGGUUUGCCAGAAGCGGCUUAGUCAUGCUUAGUUAGCUGUACGCCAGCUCCCUUGGCCAAUAAAGCGAGAUGAGUGCCGCAACCCCAGAGUCGGCCACAACUGGACCUAAUGGUCAGGGGUCCCUUUACCCUUUACCUUUAGAAUCAGCUCUCUGAUCUCAUUAAUCUCAGAGUACAAAAUACAGUCCUGAUUCAAUCUCUUAAUGCUUAUCUCUUCUCCCUGUACAUUAACAUUCACCUGCUAGUGCCAGCUAACAAAAGCAAUCUUUCCACUCAAUUUUUCCUAUUUGGGGGGCCAUCACCACCACCACCAUCAUCAUAUAAAUUUAUAUACCACCCUUCAUUUGAGAAUCACAGUAUACAAACACAAAAAUACAUAACACAAUAACAAACAAAACAAUACCCUCUUGGAGGUCCCAGGCCACAGAGAGGUUAGGCUGGCCUCAACCAGAGCCAGGGCUUUUUCGGCUGUGGCUCCGAUCUGGUGGAACGCUCUGCCACAAGAGACUAGGGCCCUGCGGGACUUGACAUCUUUCCGCAGGGCCUGCAAGACAGAGCUGUUCCACCAAGCCUUUGGCCAGGGCACAGCCUGACUCCCUCCUUUGGCAAUCUUCACAGAACUCUAGCCCAAUGGUUGCCAUCAAUUUGAUUUGAAUUAAUUUUAUAAUGAAAUGAUUUUAGAAUGUUGUACUAUUUUAUUGUUGUUAGCCGCCCUGAGCCCAGCUUCGGCUAGGGAGGGUGGGAUAUAAAUAAAAAUUAUUAUUAUUAUUAUUAUUAUUAUUAUUAUUAUUAUUAUUAAUUUAAAAGGGCAUAGAUUGUUUAAUCAGCCCAAGGCCUGGGUGAAAAAGAAUGCUUUCACUUGGCACUUUAAAGAUAUUGUUAUAGAUUUGGGGGGUGCACUGAACCCUAAAAAUUAAUAAGUGGUAGGAUUUUGAGUAUUUGGGAUGUGAAAGGAAAAUACAAGCUGCAGAGGAAUUCCUGAGCUAGCCUAUGAAAAACGGCCUGGCCAAGCUAGGGCCAUUAAGAUACAAUACAGGGCCACUGACAAGGCAAGAGAGCGGUCCUUGCUCCUUGCCCUGAGGUGUGAACAGAGACUGGGGGUUUGGAAGGUUGCCGGGUAAACUGUGUGCUUGAGGUGACAGGAAAAGAGAGUUUUUGGAGCAAGGUGUUAAGGGAAGAAGAAGGGAGAGGAAAAGACUGGGAUCCAUCUUGGGCAGGGUGGCUGCAGGCUGGCAGGGGGAGAAGCCUUGAACUCAAAGGCUGUGCUGCUGUGGGGUUCAAGCCCCUCUUGUAAUGACCUUGUUGUAAGAUGUGGACUCCCUCCAGGCAGCCUGAAGGUGUAAAUAGGUAAAUAAGCCACAUUUGUUAAAGCUAUUACAGUCUCUGCCAUGUCUCAAUGCUCCAAAACAGUGGCGUAGUGUGGGGGGGUGCAGGGGGGGCCGGCCGCACCGGGCGCAACAUCUGGGGGGCGCGCUCGCACUCGCAGCUCUCUGCCCCUACCUGGCUCACUCACUCUCUCUCACUGCAGUGCUGGCUGUGCGAAUCCGAUCCGAGCCGCUGGGUCGCCGCCCACUGUGGAGGGGGUGGGUGCCAGGCGUGCGGUGCAGAGAGAGAGCGAGGGACCAUCUGGGGGAGGGACAGUGCAGCGGCCGCCCAGCGCAGCGCUGAGCGCGGGAGAGAACCACACCAGACCAGACCAGGCAGGAGCAAAAAGAAGCUGGCAGCGGCGGCAGGUUAGGGGUUAGGGGGCGCAAAUUACUUGCCUUGCCCCGGGUUAGGGGGCGCAAAUUACUUGCCUUGCCCCGGGUUAGGGGGCGCAAAUUACUUGCCUUGCCCCGGGUGCUGACAACCCACGCUACGCCACUGCUCCAAAAGAACAAAGACCCUGGACGAGUGCCUGGAACCCUCAGGAAUCUUGCAGAGAGUGGGGUGGCACACACCUUUUGUAACAAUAUGUAAUGAAGCUGUCUCUGGGGAGAGCAUUCCACAAUGUUUGGCUCCAGCCUAUUGCAGAUCAGGCUGCAGGGAUCCUUCGUGAACAUCAGACCUUUCUGAUUCCCUGGCUUCCAAACACAAGAGAAAUUGUCCCUUUAAAAAAUCUGCUCUUUCCACAAGCACCUGCACUUUUGCUCCCUGGUAGAUUGAGACUUUACUAUUCCUGCCUUCUGAAACUGCCUUCCAGUUUUCAGCUUUUAAAGAUUCAGGAUUCCCCAUUAGCCCUAGCUGGAAACAUCAGGCCCAUUUUUUAUUUUUAACUGUUAUCUGCCUUUCCCCUUCCUUCUCUAUUUUCAUAUUUCACUUUAUUUGUCCUUGACUCUUUCUUCCUGUCUCUUUCAAACAAACAUAAGUGAGAAGAAAAUGGUGACGGCUCUUUUGGGAGGGAUGUGCCUUAGAGUGGGCGCAACAUGGUUGUGAAACAACUCACCAGAAUGAUACUUCUUUCUCCUGCUGAAGCCCCCUUCAGCAUUUCAAAACACAAGUAGGGAAAUGGGACAUGAAAAACAACAACAAAAAACAGCCUGAACACUAUUAGGUAUAGUACAUUGUCUCAGACAGUGGGGUCACAUUUAUUUUUGUUGAAACAAAGUAAUACUACAGCUUUCAUGGAAGCAAAGCUCUGAGCCAAGAAACACACUUUCUUCUAACGCCUCUGCCUGCCUUCAAACCCACUGAUAGUGAUGGUCAGUCAAAUUACCUCUCUUCUGGUCUAGUGUCCACCCCACCCUCUUCAUCUCAUUACUGUAAUUGGCUUGGACUCUUCACAUUUCUUAGAGCAAAUACUCUUUGGACAGAAUGUCUGUCUCUUCUAAUUCCAGACCAGCACAUCCAGCUCCUGGAUAAGGAGAGAGGGGAAGCACCAAGUGCAAAUGGAAACUACUGUACAGUAUAAACGUCUUUAGAAGGGAAAGAUCCCACAUGAAAUUCAGAGCAAAAUAUUGAUGUGUCAGAAUAAAUAAAUAAAAAUCCCACAGGAGAGCCUGUGAGAGAAAGAUGGGUUUAAGUGCCAGGAACAUUUCUCACUUGUACUUGAAAAGUGAUUCUGGUUCUCAAACUGUGUGACACUGAAGUUUGCUAAUGGCUAGGAUUAUGUAGUAUGUCCAGAAAAAAAUCCAAACCACUCAACUCUCCAACAUCGGAAACUGGAGAUGUUAUGUGGCAGAGGAUCACCUGUAGACCGUAUAAGUGGCUUUGGAGAGCCCUUCUGUAAUUCUGUAAUUAUUUCUUAUUUUAGUUCUGCUCCCAGCAAAUUUAUCAAAAUGUAGGAGAACCGCAAAUGUAGCAAAGGCUGCUCAGGAUUGCACAGAGUUGAGUGAAAGGAUUUCAUUUGCUUAGCAAAGGAUGUCUCUGUGAAAGUGAUACACAUCUGAGGCAGCAGGGCUGGUUUGCAGGACCAGGACAAACCAUGAGGCACACAGAGCUCUGUGUGGGAAUGACUGUGGGGCUCCUGAAGAGCAGUCAGGGAGCUAUCGCUGUUUCCCCAAGCAUAUGCCCACUGAGGCAGAUGCCUCACUCUCCAUAAUGGUAGAGGCCCUGACUUUGAAUUACAGAGAAUCUAGAAGCCUCAUUUUUCUGUUGCCAAUUAGUUUUGGCCAUAUUGUAGGUUUGGAGCUGUGUCCAAGCCAUUCCUGUCCUUCCUCCAAUUUAUACAUCACACAAAAACACACACACACUAUCUCCUUUCCCACAGUCGCUUGGAAUUACUUGUCCUGACAGACUUUGGUAAUCUUCUGCAAUGGCCUCAGUAUAUGAAAGUCAAAUGUACCUCUGGGAGCUCUGUGUCACCUGUAAUCACAGCACCCCCCUGUUCACAGAAGCACUUACAAUGGCCGCACAGAAUACACCACUGGAAAUGUUGUCAAGUUUUAACUUUGUGAUAUUAUUCUCUUUCAGCUCAAAAGGAUUUGGAAGAAUAAUUGACUUUGGGAACAAAGAAAUGUAGAAGUCUCCCCCACCCAUCCACCCGUCUUGUCAGCCACUAUCUGUAUCUAAUUACAAGAGCCGCCACAUCUUAGUGAAUUCCAAAAAAGAUAACUUGUGAGGGUGCACA
Molecule: non-coding RNA, 8814 nt
Organism: Podarcis lilfordi (Lilford's wall lizard)
Lineage: Eukaryota; Metazoa; Chordata; Lepidosauria; Squamata; Lacertidae
Source: the annotation of a GenBank genome assembly